This 485-nucleotide ribosomal RNA is filed under the name uncultured bacterium. RNAcentral describes it as "partial 16S ribosomal RNA". It matches the Rfam family "Bacterial small subunit ribosomal RNA", at positions 28 to 523 of the family's 1533-position model. The record is from RNAcentral.
AAUGAACGUUGGCGGCGUGGAUUAGGCAUGCAAGUCGAGCGGGUGCAGCAAUGCACCAGCGGCGGAAGGGUGAGUAAGGCGACGGCAACCAACCCCGAGGAUGGGUAUAGCCGCGGGAAACUGCGGGUAAUCCCCAGCGAUGCGAGGGCGUCGGCAUCGACGCUUCGCCAAAUGGAUCCGUCCGCCUCGGGACGGGCCGUCGUGGUAUUAGGUCGUCGGCGGGGUAGCGGCCCACCAAGCCUUCGAUGCCUACCGGGCGUGCGAGCGCGGCCCGGCACACUGGGACUGAGACACUGCCCAGACUCCUACGGGAGGCUGCAGUCGAGAAUCUUCGGCAAUGGGCGCAAGCCUGACCGAGCGACGCCGCGUGGAGGACGAAGGCCUUCGGGUUGUAAACUCCUGUCGAGGGGGAGAAAGGCUCCGCGAGGGGCUUGAUCGAUCCCUGGAGGAAGCACGGGCUAAGUUCGUGCCAGCCGCCGCGGUAA